UACGGGGGGGGCAAGCGUUGUUCGGAAUUACUGGGCGUAAAGGGCUCGUAGGUGGCCAACUAAGUCAGACGUGAAAUCCCUCAGCUUAACUGGGGAACUGCGUCUGAUACUGGAUGGCUUGAGUUUGGGAGAGGGAUGCGGAAUUCCAGGUGUAGCGGUGAAAUGCGUAGAUAUCUGGAGGAACACCGGUGGCGAAGGCGGCAGCCUGGACCAACACUGACACUGAUGAGCGAAAGCCAGGGGAGCAAACGGG
This 253-nucleotide ribosomal RNA is filed under the name uncultured bacterium. RNAcentral describes it as "partial 16S ribosomal RNA". It matches the Rfam family "Bacterial small subunit ribosomal RNA", at positions 524 to 776 of the family's 1533-position model. The record is from RNAcentral.